Molecule: long non-coding RNA, 5363 nt
Organism: Astatotilapia calliptera (eastern happy)
Lineage: Eukaryota; Metazoa; Chordata; Actinopteri; Cichliformes; Cichlidae
Source: Ensembl
CAAAGAUACCACAGAAAUAUCUUAGUGUCAUUUUUCCUGGAUGUAGUCAUCUGGGAGAACAAAUUUAUUUAAAAAAACCAACAAACCUGUGAAACUUGAAAAAUACAGAACAAGCAACGGAACAAUGAGACCUCAUACAAGCGUAAGGAUAACCUCAUUGCACAGCUUUUAGCUCCAGGAACUAAUGAUUUUGUGUAUAUUGUGUUGUCAUAAUGCAGCUAUCGAGGUGAUGAAUUGCAAGCAUACUGGAAACGUAGUGAAAUAACUUUAAUCCAGGGAUUUAUUUGAAUAGAUUAGAGGCCAAAAUGUGAUCGAACCAAAGAGAGAUAUCACUUCAUUGGCAGUUUUGGGGAUUUUACCGUUUACUUACGGUACAAAUGGUAACACACUUUCACCAAACUGCCUAAAACGAGGUUUCUAUCAGUAUCUGGAAGCACUUGAAGGAAGUGAACAGUUAAUUGUAAUAUCAGAUAUUGCUGUGCAGUAUUGGGAUUUAAACAGAGACUAGAGUAGCUAUUUUAUUGUUAUUAGCGACUGUUUGAAAUGUGACGGUAGAAAUAAUUCUUCCAAAAGGAGUCAAAGUUCAAAAUUCUGAUGGCUGAUGUUCAAGACUGCUGAAAUACAUUUUCUAACGAACACAAACUUCUCAUUAUGUUCCUGCUGGACAGUAUCAUAGUACUAAACAAAGUGCAGUACCUGCUAGAUCGCAGUUAUCUAUUUUAACAAAACCAUAUUUGUGUUUUUGUGGUCUCUCUGUGAUCGCACACCGACAAUAACGAGGAACGAAGUGGUUCUGUUUUGUGAGUUAGUGCACUUUAAAAACUGCUUUUAUGGUGCAUUAAUGUAAAGAUGCAGUAAAAACUCAGCAUGUUAUUUAUUGAAUGUUUUUUUGUAAUUAUUUCAUAUUUUCCAAACAGGAGGAUGAGUUCUGCUCUCAGUGGCAGGAGAUUUGGUCAAAUUGGAGACCUCUUGUGGUAAUUGAAAGGUACUACAACGUGACUUUGAGGCUUUCCUGCAGUCCUACCUCAGUGCAAUAAGAAAUGCGCUGCUGGUCAGUGAGUCUCCACAAAAACUGUUUUGUUUUUAAUCUUAGUGCAGCUAAAACUGUUUUAUUGCACAUUUUGUUUCGCAUUGGGCAAGAAUUUAGUUUCUGAAAAGUGAUUUUUUUUUUUUCUCGAUGCUGUUUGCUGCAGCUUUAGCAAAUCAUGGGCACUUCCUUCAUCUUUAUUGUGCUUUACAUAAUGCCUGAUAAAAGCAUAUUUAUAAUGAAUAGUAUUAUUAUUUCCACAGUUCCCCUCAUUCAAACAGAAACCAUCAGCGUGUCCUGUGAUGGUAAUAAAAUCACUGAUGUAUGGACCUAUAAAUAAAACCAGUAACCGUCUGGGUGCUGACAGGCCCCAUCCUUUGAGACGAAGGCAUUAUGUAAAUGUGUCGAAUCACUCUGAACAUUUCGCUCCAGCACAUUCAUCAUUAUUAUUAUUAUUAUUAUUGCAUAUCGCUUUGUUUGAUUGAGCUGAACUUACUUGUAAGGGAAUCGUUCUGUGUCGAGCCUGCGUUUAGCUGUGUAGCAUCUUUAUUCAUGCUUUUACUUCGUUUUUCUUAUUUCCUCUUUUUUUCUUUCGUUCUGAACCCACGAGGAAAUGUGCAAUAGAUUAAAAAAAAGAAGAAGAAAAAAGACAAAAACGCUUCAGCGAAAGGAGGAAGGUCAUAGUGGGCCGGGAGUAGAUGUUCCCGGUCAGGCUGCCGGUCACGAGGCUUUUGCCGUCUUUUCCAGUGUGUCAUGUUUAAGUCUGUUUUCAGAGAGCAGGUGUGCGAGGUCCUGACGUCAGAGCACUCGUCGGACCAAAGCAGCGACGUGAUGAACUAACACGAGGAUGUCUGCUCCCGCGACCUCCGUCAGCUGACCCAUUCUGUAGUGACAUUACAGCCAUCUGGGAUCUUCGUCACAGACGUAGAGUCACUGGCCCACCAUCAUCAUCGUCAUCGUCGGGGGCCCUCAGCCGUUUCAGUUCAAUCCAUCAACUUCCAGGAUAAACACCAAAAAGAGAAAAUCCUGUUUUUCCCCCCACGCUGUCUUUGCAGAGAGAUCGUGCUGUUCGCAGAGGCCGACGCGCAGAGCCCGGUCCUUUUUGGGGGUCGGCUGACUUUGUGUUUAACUCCACGUUUAAAUCAUCGUGGGAAAUUCCCUCAUUUGCUUUGUUGCUGAGAGAUUCGCAGAUUUCUGAAACUCGUUUUCAGUCAAAGCUGGAAGCCAGUUCUGAAACCUUCUUACUGUCACUGCUGACCGCCGAACAGACACGCCCGUCUGUGAGCCGUCUGUGAGCCGUCUGUUUUCAGCCCGUUGCCUACAUAAACUUGUCACAGUGCAAACUCCUUGCUGACAGUUUAACCAAAAGGCGUUUCCAGUGGAAACUGGCCGACAGAUCCUCAGCACAACCAUGUAUAACAUCCACAGAACUUAAAAAGAGGUUAUACACACGAUACGGUAACAUUAUGUUGAAGCACAGUACUGUGCUAAACCAGUUCCACCACUGGAGUUGCAGCAUUUUUAUAAACCAGUUCUGGUUCAACCUCCUCUCUCCGUCGCCGCCGUGCUUUUUCCGCCAUGUGCGUAUGAAAACAGGCACUGCGCAUGCGCGUGUUACCCACGUUCUAUCGCCAUAUUUUCUUAUCGUUGCCCAACGUUAUACCGGUAUUACCAUGAACGGGAUGAUGUGGCCCAGCCCUGUCCCUCACUUCCUGCUUUUCCAGCGUUUCAUCAGUGCUGUCAGUCUGCUUUCACUCUCAGCAGCAAAGUGAAAAUAGUCAGAGUAUAAUACGUUGGAGUUUCGCUCUUUAAUAACAGCUCGGUUACCGUCCGCUACUUUAUGCCUUUCACCUGCAGAGCUCAGCAGGCGUGUCCACGCCAACACGGUUUCCGCGAGUCUUACAGGAAACGCUCGAGUUUUCCAUCAUCUUCCCGGAGGUCAGCGGAGCGAGACGGCUCCGCUUGGCCGUCUGAUUCCUCGCUCUCUCUUUUUAUUCUAACAAACGGACAGCGCCUCCCGGGCGCCUUUCCAGUUUUGUGUUUUUGAUUCACCUCCGUCUCCUUCCUCGACACAGCCGAGCCGCUGAGAUCACAAAGAUGCCCGACAGGGUGGAGUGUGUGUAUGUGCGUGAUGAGAUGGAUCGUUUGCAGGUGUGUUGGAGAAAAGAGAAGUCGGAGGUCAAGGAGGGGUUUGUAGGAUGCAGGCAGACAGACGACGGAUCAGAUAGCGGAUCCGAGGAGACGAGGCGGCUGGGAGGUGAGAGGAGCUCUGCUUUGAUUGGAGGGAGAUGAACAAUGAUGUCUUCAACAGGAAGCCCGUUUUAUCAAACUCCUUCUAACCUUUCUAGAAACCUCACACCUAAUGAGCUCCUCUCCUGAGCCGAGCUGUGAAGUCUCAUUACGUCAAACACAGUUUUAAUUGAGCCGCUUGAAGUUUCCAAAGUCUGUGAGAAACGACUUGAUGGUGCAGCAGCUUCUCUCGGCCUCCCCGCCCGUCUCCAGGUGAACUUCAGAACUGGUCCCACCUCUGAUAUGAGCUCCUGCUGCUCACAUCUCACGCAGCCCCGAGGGUGAGAGCUGAGCCGGCUGGUGGAAAACAGUUUUCAGAAUAAGACAAAGGCUUCAUGUUUUGCUUUAUUCUCUCGUGUUUUUGUUGAGAAAAUAAUUGAAUGUUGUAAAAAGGGUGAGGCGGGAUUUGAAGGGCUCGCUGGCUUCUAAUGAAACGCCUUCAAGCUGUAAACGAAAGACAUAAAAAAGUUUCAGAAGACGGCGGCAGGCAGAGCGAUGGUGGAGGAGAUGAAGGCAGGUUGGAUAGGAAAGUUUCAGUAAGUGUGUGGGAGCAGGUGAGGUGCAUGUAAGGGGGGCUUUGUAGGUUUUUAAUUAACGUCUGGUUGCUUGUUAGAGCGUGAGAGCAGAGAUGAGCCGCGGAUGCUGAGGGCUCAUUCUCAAGCAGGUAAAACAGAAGUGCAGAAAAUCAGGCGAUGCAGAUUAUUUAUGUCACUCUGAAAACUUCCUCAUGCAGUCGCAGCCGUUUGAGAUGCCAGCAGGCAUCAGCAGGAGCUCCAGAGGAGGAGGCUGUGUCGAGGAAGGAGGCGCGCCGCUGUGCCUCGGCGGCGCUUUCUUUGUCUCCGUUUGAAUCCCCGUUUCCAGUUAGCACAACAGUGUGUCUUAAUUAACCUCAGCCAGUCUGAUAGUAUUUCAGCACUAAUGGCUUCCCAAUAAAGAACGCCGUGGCUUCCUGCGUGGGAGACGGCGCCCAGCGCUGUGGCCGAGGCGAGCUGUCACAAGUGACUGAUGCUGAGUGACAGCUGAAGUAGUAUUUUAAUGGCAAAGGCGGUGCCUGUUUUUCUUUAACUCACCGGUGCAUUUGUAGAGUAGAAUCUGUCCCCACCCUGCUGUGGAAAGCAGUGUGCCAAAACAAAGCGCCCGUGGAGCUCGCGAUCUCGCGAUCUCUUGAUUCUGACAAAAACAGUUCGUUACCAGCACGUCAGUAACAACUACAGGCCUCGAGUUGGACCAAAGGAGGUGCUACUCUUUCACUCUCUCUUUUCUUUCUGCUUUUAUUGCCAUGUUUUUAAGCAGGUUCAAACUGUAGCGCAUGACUUUAGUCGCCCCCUUCUGGCAGUGAGAGUAACUGCACACUGACAGAAGGAAAAGUUGCAAACGACAAAGAUUUUACUUUGUGCGUAAAGGCUUAAAGGUCCUUUUUGUAACUGCUCUCUUCAACUGUAACUAAAUGUGUCACCACCAGGGGGCAGCAUUUAACAGCGCGCGAGUUGAGAUGUUUCCAGAUGUUUGCUGCUGUUUCAUUGCUGCUGUUGGCCUCCCACUAGACCACCAUUGUGUUCCAUACGCUGCACCACCCCGUGGAGGGACACGCCGCCCUCGUUUUCCCCACAUUUCACUGUGAUUGCUUUCGUUAAUUUUGGAAGGUUUUAAAUUGUAUUUACUCGCAGGAAUUUACAACAAGUACCUUUAAUGAGUGCGCUGUGACGUCUUGGAUUUAUAACAAAGUCGUGCACUGCAGCUUUAAGCCCUGCAGAGUCCUUGUUUUCAAAAGAUAUGCCAUGAAGAGCCAAAUGCAGCUUUAUUCAAGACCCCCCCCCCCCCACACACACACACACACACACUAAUGAGAGCAAACACAGUCCAGAUCCCUUCCUGAUUGGAGACCUUCUGCACAUGUGCAUUACUUGUGAAAACAGGACAUUUUCUUAUCUACGGUCUCAUUUUGACGAGUCUUGUUCCUUUUUUUGUAUCUUGUACAUGUUUACAUUGUAUCUCGCAUUGCCCAAAAGAGAAACAAUAUUAAAUGUAUAAUCUUUGUUGUUUUAAA